RNAcentral lists this transfer RNA (70 nucleotides) under Camelus bactrianus (Bactrian camel). It matches the Rfam family "tRNA". Rfam says of the family: Transfer RNA (tRNA) molecules are approximately 80 nucleotides in length. Their secondary structure includes four short double-helical elements and three loops (D, anti-codon, and T loops). The record is from Rfam by way of RNAcentral. Lineage: Eukaryota; Metazoa; Chordata; Mammalia; Artiodactyla; Camelidae. RNAcentral also lists the same sequence under 2 other names.
GGAUAUAGCUAAAUGGUAGAGUGUGUGCUUAGCAUACACAAUGUCCUGAGUUCAAUCCCCAGUACAUCCA